This 133-nucleotide non-coding RNA is filed under the name Subdoligranulum variabile DSM 15176. RNAcentral's name for it is "Bacterial small subunit ribosomal RNA". It matches the Rfam family "Bacterial small subunit ribosomal RNA", at positions 1388 to 1520 of the family's 1533-position model. Lineage: Bacteria; Bacillati; Bacillota; Clostridia; Eubacteriales; Oscillospiraceae. The record is from Rfam by way of RNAcentral.
CACCGCCCGUCACACCAUGAGAGCCGGGGGGACCCGAAGUCGGUAGUCUAACCGCAAGGAGGACGCCGCCGAAGGUAAAACUGGUGAUUGGGGUGAAGUCGUAACAAGGUAGCCGUAUCGGAAGGUGCGGCUG